UGCCAUGUGAACCUCUUUGGAGGUAAUGGAAA
Molecule: non-coding RNA, 32 nt
Filed under: Rattus norvegicus (Norway rat)
Lineage: Eukaryota; Metazoa; Chordata; Mammalia; Rodentia; Muridae
Source: RNAcentral